AUUAAACCGCGUUAGGGAUUGCAGCGGCAUCCCCCGAUCUUGAUCGGGGAUACAGCGAAAAGCCCGGCCCUAA
This 73-nucleotide small RNA is filed under the name Christiangramia gaetbulicola. Its description in RNAcentral is "Gramella gaetbulicola Flavo-1 RNA". Lineage: Bacteria; Pseudomonadati; Bacteroidota; Flavobacteriia; Flavobacteriales; Flavobacteriaceae. The record is from RNAcentral.